UAGCUCCUACGGGAGGCAGCAGUGGGGGAUAUUGCACAAUGGGGGAAACCCUGAUGCAGCGACGCCGCGUGGGUGAAGAAGCGCCUCGGCGCGUAAAGCCCUGUCAGCAGGGAAGAAAAUGACGGUACCUGUAUAAGCAGCCCCGGCUAACUCCGUGCCAGCAGCCGCGGUAAUACGGAGGGGGCGAGCGUUGUUCGGAGUGACUGGGCGUAAAGAGCACGUAGGCGGUGUUGUAAGUCAUUAGUCA
RNAcentral lists this ribosomal RNA (247 nucleotides) under uncultured bacterium. Its description in RNAcentral is "partial 16S ribosomal RNA". It matches the Rfam family "Bacterial small subunit ribosomal RNA", at positions 333 to 597 of the family's 1533-position model. The record is from RNAcentral.